AAUCCUCAACCCUUUCUUCCUUGUGGAUGAAUGGUGUUGGAUGUGGAAGUCUGCUGGCCUUAUGGGUCAGCUCUUCUGAAACGAAUUAGCAGGGUCACCAUGUACAAGCCUCCAGCUUGGUAUUGAUAGAUGUCUUACCAGGGUGUAGCACAAUGUGCAAGGUGCUCAAGCUCACAGCUGUCCCUUCAGGACAAUUAACCCGACG
RNAcentral lists this unclassified non-coding RNA (205 nucleotides) under uncultured Pluteus. RNAcentral's name for it is "sequence contains ITS2". The record is from RNAcentral. Lineage: Eukaryota; Fungi; Basidiomycota; Agaricomycetes; Agaricales; Pluteaceae.